CCCAACCAAACACACUAUUCGAUGAUUUAGCUAAUCCAUACGCUCCUCUAUUUCCUUUUUUGAUGAUUUUGACUAGGAAACUAGCGGAGAAGUCUUCCGAAGGAGAUGAACAGGAGGAUCCCAUAAUCUUAGACUACUUUACCUAGCCAAGCCGACACACUAGCUAACAGAGAUGACUUUCUGCUUCAGCAUUUUGCAUAGUGGCUCUUUCAUUGCUGAUUGGAUUAUACUAUUGUUUGAAGGUUCAACUGGUUUCAAUUUCAAAAUUGAAAGGAGAUGAAUACAUGAUGCUUAUAUAUCUGUCCAAGCUACAAGUUAUAGAGGAUGCUUCAAUUUUAUAUUCUCACUGAAUGCUUUCGGCAUGCAUGGGAGGAGAAAUUAUACCCCUUUAGAUUUUUAAGGGGCUGAAGGUGAGCAAGCCAUCAUUUUGGACCACCAUUUAGUCCUUGUUGGGAGACAGGUUCAAUCUUUGAUGGUAAGAUGGAAUACAUUCUGGAGUUUGAAGAAGUUAAGUAUGGUGAACCUCAAAAACCUAAACUAACAAGCCUAGUGCCAAUAGCAUAGCCAAAGCAUGUGCCUUGGAUGCCAAGAGCUAGCACCUGUUGGGAAGAGUUACUUUUGUGAAUUUGUCAUUGGAUACGGUGGAAUAGUUUUCUUUCUCAAAGUUUAGCCAAAAAUAUUCCCUAUAACAGCUUCAAGUUUUUUUUUUUCACCGACUCUCUCAUAACUCUAGUCAUUCUUCAUCACCACCUUGUUAUAGCAUCCACUACAUUGUGAAUGUGCAAACUUGGCACCAUAUCUGUGAAUUCACAUAUUUGGGAUCCAGUUUUGAAAAAUAAGAUGAUGUGCUGUUAACUGAUCUCGUUUCCCAUCUGGAUUAGAAUCAAAGUUUUCCAUCUAAUUUGCCAUUUACCAUGGUUAUAUUGCUAAGCGAACUAUUAGACAUGUCACAUGUAGGUCAUUUUGGGGCGCCAUUCUGUUAGAAAUAUUGUAUAGAGGCUCAUUUUGU
Long non-coding RNA from Andrographis paniculata, 1009 nucleotides. RefSeq lists it as uncharacterized. The record is from RefSeq and is a predicted model, not a curated record. NCBI's taxonomy places the organism in Eukaryota, Viridiplantae, Streptophyta, Magnoliopsida, Lamiales, Acanthaceae. The transcript has 4 exons.